UGGGGAAUAUUGGACAAUGGGCGAAAGCCUGAUCCAGCCAUGCCGCGUGUGAAGAAGGUCUUCGGAUUGUAAAGCACUUUAAGUUGGGAGGAAGGGCAGUAAGCGAAUACCUUGCUGUUUUGACGUUACCGACAGAAUAAGCACCGGCUAACUCUGUGCCAGCAGCCGCGGUAAUACAGAGGGUGCAAGCGUUAAUCGGAAUUACUGGGCGUAAAGCGCGCGUAGGUGGUUCGUUAAGUUGAAUGUGAAAGCCCCGGGCUCAACCUGGGAACUGCAUCCAAAACUGGCGAGCUAGAGUAGGGCAGAGGGUGGUGGAAUUUCCUGUGUAGCGGUGAAAUGCGUAGAUAUAGGAAGGAACACCAGUGGCGAAGGCGACCACCUGGGCUCAUACUGACACUGAGGUGCGAAAGCGUGGGGAGCAAACAGG
RNAcentral lists this ribosomal RNA (427 nucleotides) under Pseudomonadota bacterium. RNAcentral's name for it is "Proteobacteria bacterium partial 16S ribosomal RNA". It matches the Rfam family "Bacterial small subunit ribosomal RNA", at positions 355 to 776 of the family's 1533-position model. Lineage: Bacteria; Pseudomonadati; Pseudomonadota. The record is from RNAcentral.